RNAcentral lists this ribosomal RNA (465 nucleotides) under Vreelandella stevensii. RNAcentral describes it as "partial 16S ribosomal RNA". It matches the Rfam family "Bacterial small subunit ribosomal RNA", at positions 338 to 795 of the family's 1533-position model. Lineage: Bacteria; Pseudomonadati; Pseudomonadota; Gammaproteobacteria; Oceanospirillales; Halomonadaceae. The record is from RNAcentral.
CCUACGGGGGGCAGCAGUGGGGAAUAUUGGACAAUGGGCGAAAGCCUGAUCCAGCCAUGCCGCGUGUGUGAAGAAGGCCUUCGGGUUGUAAAGCACUUUCAGUGGGGAAGAAAGCCUUGGGGCUAAUACCCUCGAGGAAGGACAUCACCCACAGAAGAAGCACCGGCUAACUCCGUGCCAGCAGCCGCGGUAAUACGGAGGGUGCGAGCGUUAAUCGGAAUUACUGGGCGGAAAGCGCGCGUAGGCGGUCUGAUAAGCCGGUUGUGAAAGCCCCGGGCUCAACCUGGGAACGGCAUCCGGAACUGUCAGGCUAGAGUGCAGGAGAGGAAGGUAGAAUUCCCGGUGUAGCGGUGAAAUGCGUAGAGAUCGGGAGGAAUACCAGUGGCGAAGGCGGCCUUCUGGACUGACACUGACGCUGAGGUGCGAAAGCGUGGGUAGCAAACAGGAUUAGAUACCCCUGUAGUC